Ornithorhynchus anatinus (platypus) is the source of this 139-nucleotide small nucleolar RNA. Lineage: Eukaryota; Metazoa; Chordata; Mammalia; Monotremata; Ornithorhynchidae. The record is from RefSeq and is a predicted model, not a curated record.
CUCCUCUCAGGGUCACACCUGGAGAGUUUCCCAGGACUCUACCAGUCUUGGCUAUAGGAGGGAGAGACAAGCAGAAGCCUACCCAUUCCAUUCCUAGCUAGGGCAGUGCCUAGCAAGUGGAAGGCAAUCUGCUACAAGU